This 353-nucleotide ribosomal RNA is filed under the name uncultured archaeon. Its description in RNAcentral is "bacterial SSU rRNA". It matches the Rfam family "Archaeal small subunit ribosomal RNA", at positions 128 to 463 of the family's 1478-position model. The record is from RNAcentral.
AACUCCGGGAAACUGGGGCUAAUCCCUGAUAGGUGAGAACUCCUGGAAUGGAUUCUCGCUCAAAGGACGUUUAGACCAUGCUUCUAAGCGUCGCCCAAGGAGGGGGCCGCGACCGAUCAGGUUGUUGGUGAGGUAACGGCUCACCAAGCCUUUAACCGGUACGGGCCGUGAGAGCGGAAUCCCGGAGAUGGGCACUGAGACAAGGGCCCAGGCCCUACGGGGCGCAGCAGUCGCGAAAACUCCGCAAUACACGAAAGUGUGACGGGGCCAUCCCUAGUGCCAUCCGCUGAGGAUGGCUUUUCCCCAGUGUAUAAAGCUGGGGGAAUAAGGAGAGGGCAAGCCUGGUGUCAGCC